UAUUUCUUGAUGAAAUCGUUUGAUGCUUGCCAAAUUGAAAUCGGAAAGUGGCACCUUAUUCAUGUAGCAAUUAGAGUAGAUCAAGACUUUGGUCCGUUGCUUUCUUCUCGUCGUCGUUCUCGCCCAGCGGUUUUGAGCGUGCUGAUAACGUGUUGGAACUAAUCGAGAGACAACAAUGAAUCGAACUGUUUCUUAUUCCAUUGACGAUCACAGUAUAUAUACAAGGGAACAGACGCAAGCGAAGAGAUGCGUCCGUUCGCAGGGGCGCGAGAGUGGGUCGCGACGGUUGCAGAAACAACCGCACGAGAUAUUACAUAGGGAGGAUUAUCCCUUUAAUUAAGAGAACUAAUUAAAUCCUAACAACAUUAACGUACGCAGUAAGAGCGCUCAUUGGCAUGGUACACGUGUCCAUUUUACCGGAUCGCUACACGUAACGAGAAAGAGAGAGAGAGAGGGAAACGGGUCCAGAUAACACCUCCCCAGGUAAAACUCGCUCGUCUCCUCAUCUCUCGCGUCUUCUCCUCCUCGAGUGGCGGCUAGGGUUUCGCCGCCCUUCUCCUAUUCCCUUCUCUCCCUGUCGCCUCCUCCCACCAGCUGCCGCCUCGCCCGCUUGACUCGUCGCCUCCUCACCGUGCGAGCCGCCUCCACCCGCCCUCCUUCGCUUCCUCCCCUCUCGGCUCAUCCUUUUGAUGGAGGCGGCUCUCGUCGAUGAGCACGACGGCGGCGAGUUGAGUGCCUAAUGGGCGACAUCAACGCCAUGUCCACCUAUGGGUGGCAGAUGGUGUGGAUCCAUCGCCAUGGCUUACGACGCCGAGCUACUCACGUAGGAAACAGCUUCAUUCUGAUUUAUGUGAAUAUAAGCGUCUGAGGUCCAGUGGCAAUGCUACAAAAUCAUUCCAGACUUGAGUAUCUGGAUCACACUACUACUGGUCAUAUCUUGCGGUUCAUACAGCGGGCUUAUGACAGAGCAAGUCAUGGCCUCAUGGCAUGGGGUCCCUUUCUUCAGCCAACUGAAGCACUUGAUGUUAGCUUGUCUUUGCUUUUGGAUAAAUUCUAGUGCAUAUUCUAAUAAUAGAUCCUAAUGUUAUAGCAUACACCCAUAUUGAUGUACAUGGUGAGACUAGGACCAAACUUGGGAGUAGUCAAGGGGCAGCAAAUUGAUGGUUACAACAUGACCUGGAAUUGCUUUGCGUUCCUGGAAUCCAAUUGGCUGCCCUAAAAAUGUAUUGCAGCAUCUUGAAUCCGCCAGUGUUAUUUUGUGUUAACAAGACUUUUAAGGCUUGCAUUUGUGCCA
This is a long non-coding RNA of Aegilops tauschii subsp. strangulata, 1294 nucleotides long. RefSeq lists it as uncharacterized. The record is from RefSeq and is a predicted model, not a curated record. NCBI's taxonomy places the organism in Eukaryota, Viridiplantae, Streptophyta, Magnoliopsida, Poales, Poaceae.